CUGAGGCGUGAUGACGAGGCACUACGGUGCUGAAGCAACAAAUGCCCUGCUUCCAGGAAAAGCCUCUAAGCAUCAGGUAACAUCAAAUCGUACCCCAAACCGACACAGGUGGUCAGGUAGAGAAUACCAAGGCGCUUGAGAGAACUCGGGUGAAGGAACUAGGCAAAAUGGUGCCGUAACUUCGGGAGAAGGCACGCUGACACGUAGGUGAAGUGAUUUACUCACGGAGCUGAAGUCAGUCGAAGAUACCAGCUGGCUGCAACUGUUUAUUAAAAACACAGCACUGUGCAAACACGAAAGUGGACGUAUACGGUGUGACGCCUGCCCGGUGCCGGAAGGUUAAUUGAUGGGGUCAGCGCAAGCGAAGCUCCUGAUCGAAGCCCCGGUAAACGGCGGCCGUAACUAUAACGGUCCUAAGGUAGCGAAAUUCCUUGUCGGGUAAGUUCCGACCUGCACGAAUGGCGUAAUGAUGGCCAGGCUGUCUCCACCCGAGACUCAGUGAAAUUGAACUCGCUGUGAAGAUGCAGUGUACCCGCGGCAAGACGGAAAGACCCCGUGAACCUUUACUAUAGCUUGACACUGAACAUUGAGCCUUGAUGUGUAGGAUAGGUGGGAGGCUUUGAAGUGUGGACGCCAGUCUGCAUGGAGCCGACCUUGAAAUACCACCCUUUAAUGUUUGAUGUUCUAACGUGGACCCGUAAUCCGGGUUGCGGACAGUGUCUGGUGGGUAGUUUGACUGGGGCGGUCUCCUCCUAAAGAGUAACGGAGGAGCACGAAGGUUGGCUAAUCCUGGUCGGACAUCAGGAGGUUAGUGCAAUGGCAUAAGCCAGCUUGACUGCGAGCGUGACGGCGCGAGCAGGUGCGAAAGCAGGUCAUAGUGAUCCGGUGGUUCUGAAUGGAAGGGCCAUCGCUCAACGGAUAAAAGGUACUCCGGGGAUAACAGGCUGAUACCGCCCAAGAGUUCAUAUCGACGGCGGUGUUUGGCACCUCGAUGUCGGCUCAUCACAUCCUGGGGCUGAAGUAGGUCCCAAGGGUAUGGCUGUUCGCCAUUUAAAGUGGUACGCGAGCUGGGUUUAGAACGUCGUGAGACAGUUCGGUCCCUAUCUGCCGUGGGCGCUGGAGAACUGAGGGGGGCUGCUCCUAGUACGAGAGGACCGGAGUGGACGCAUCACUGGUGUUCGGGUUGUCAUGCCAAUGGCACUGCCCGGUAGCUAAAUGCGGAAGAGAUAAGUGCUGAAAGCAUCUAAGCACGAAACUUGCCCCGAGAUGAGUUCUCCCUGAGACUUUAGGUCUCCUGAAGGAACGUUGAAGACGACGACGUUGAUAGGCCGGGUG
RNAcentral lists this ribosomal RNA (1335 nucleotides) under Salmonella enterica subsp. enterica serovar Kentucky. RNAcentral's name for it is "bacterial LSU rRNA". It matches the Rfam family "Bacterial large subunit ribosomal RNA", at positions 1556 to 2867 of the family's 2925-position model. Lineage: Bacteria; Pseudomonadati; Pseudomonadota; Gammaproteobacteria; Enterobacterales; Enterobacteriaceae. The record is from RNAcentral.